This 366-nucleotide unclassified non-coding RNA is filed under the name Hevea brasiliensis (rubber tree). The record is from RNAcentral. Lineage: Eukaryota; Viridiplantae; Streptophyta; Magnoliopsida; Malpighiales; Euphorbiaceae.
GCCCAAUUGGUUACUUUGUCUGCAAGAAUUUGACAAGGGAUCAUUCAUAUAGGCAGAGAAAGAUGGAGGAGCAAAAAUGUACAAUGCACUAAAAUAUGUCUAAGUGGAAGAUAUUUUGAAGGAAAAAAAAAAAAAAACCUUACAAUUAUACAAAAUAUAUUUGCUAAAAAAAAAUUCUUCAGUUUUAAACUAAAGCAAGAUCCCAGUUACAAACUAGUUAUACAGAAACUUCUCUAGAUGCAAUCCAUAAGCCUCCUCUAAUCAAUGCAUAGAGAAAAUUAGUACCAAAAUCCUAAAAUUCAAAUUUGAGUCUCCAGCUAUACGAAGUACCUGCUAUUGCUUUUGUUUGUGCAGCAACAACAGCCA